CAGAGGAGACAGGUGGUGCAUGGUUGUCGUCAGCUCGUGUCGUGAGAUGUUGGGUUAAGUCCCGCAACGAGCGCAACCCUUGUCCUUAGUAGCCAGCAGUAAGAUGGGCACUCUAGGGAGACUGCCRGGGACAACCCGGAGGAAGGCGGGGAYGACGUCAAAUCAUCAUGCCCCUUAUGAUUUGGGCUACACACGUGCUACAAUGGCGUAAACAAAGGGAAGCGAGCCYGCGAGGGGGAGCGAAUCCCAAAAAUAACGUCCCAGUUCGGACUGYAGUCUGCAACYCGACUGCACGAAGCUGGAAUCGCUAGUAAUCGCGGAUCAGAAUGCCGCGGUGAAUACGUUCCCGGGUCUUGUACACAC
RNAcentral lists this ribosomal RNA (363 nucleotides) under uncultured bacterium. RNAcentral's name for it is "bacterial SSU rRNA". It matches the Rfam family "Bacterial small subunit ribosomal RNA", at positions 1026 to 1390 of the family's 1533-position model. The record is from RNAcentral.